AAGUGGGAUUGACGCUGGCCUUCCGAGGCAUGUGCUCGUCCUCGCUCAUCCACUCACAACACCUGUGCACUGUUGAGGUGUGGCCCCCCUUCAAUGGAGCCGUUCCCCCCUAGGGGGUCGAGCCGGGGUCAGGCCUUCUUCGUCACGAACAACUUGUAAUGUCUAUUCGGAAUGUAAUGCUUCAUGUUAAUGAAACAAUACAACUUUCAACAACGGAUCUCUUGGCUCUCGCAUCGAUGAAGAACGCAGCGAAAUGCGAUAAGUAAUGUGAAUUGCAGAAUUCAGUGAAUCAUCGAAUCUUUGAACGCACCUUGCGCUCCUUGGUAUUCCGAGGAGCAUGCCUGUUUGAGUGUCAUGAAAUUCUCAACCCUCCUCACUUUUGUGUGAAGGGCUUGGACUUGGGGGAUUGUUACUGCUGGUCUCUUCUGAUCGGCUCCCCUUGAAUGCAUUAGCCCGGGACCUUUGCCUCCCAGCCAGUUUCACGGUGUGAUAGUCUAUCAACGCCGGUGUUAAUUGGUGUUCAGGUGUGGCAAGACAGCGNCCGGCUCUCUAACGGACUUUUGAAGUCAACUCUACCCAAUCUGACCUCAAAUCAGGUAGGACUACCCGCUGAACUUAAGCAUAUCAAUA
This 630-nucleotide ribosomal RNA is filed under the name uncultured fungus. RNAcentral describes it as "eukaryotic LSU rRNA". The stretch from base 202 to 355 matches the Rfam family "5.8S ribosomal RNA". Lineage: Eukaryota; Fungi. The record is from RNAcentral.